UUUUUUUUUGUUUUAAUUGAGCGUGACCUUAUUUUAGAUUGAGGCGUGCCAUAUCAGCAAACUUAAUUUAUGGCCCUCUUAAGAUUAGAUCAAGGCUUCUUUAAUAAAGAGAUGAAGGUGUGCCAUAAGCAAGUUAAAUCAUCCAUAGCCCUCACACAUGUCAUAAUUUAAAUAUUAAAAAUGAACUCCGUAGUUUGCUUUAGGCGCAUUGAAUAUAUAAUUAUCAUGACUAUUAAAAUCUGGGGGUGCAUUUUAUGUGACUCGGUUCUAAUUUUCAACAAGGUUAAAUAGAACGUGUUGUGACUCACGGGUGCAUUUCAUGUAGCGUGGCUUGCGAUGUGUUUUAAAUAAAUUACUUCUUUAAAUAGGUAAAAGCGGUUUUCAAAAGUUAAAAAUGCUCAUAGGUUUUAAAGUGUUUUAAAAUCAGAUAAAUAGGCCAAUAAUAAUAGUUGAACGACUGUGCUAGAACCACUGAACCCGGGAAUGCCUAACACCUUCUCCAGGGUUAACAGAAUUCCUUACCCGGAUUUCUGUGUUCGCAGACUAUAAAAUAGAGUCAAUCUUUCCUCGAUUCGGGAUUUAAAACCGGUGACUUGGGACACCAUAAAUUAUCCCAAGUGGUGACUCUGAUUCUUAAAUAAUUAAUCCCAUUUCGAUUGUCACUUAAAUUGAAAAAAAAUUCCCUUAUACCCUUUGGGGGGUAGUUAAAAGGAGGUGUGACAGCUCAGGCGACUCUGUUGUGGAUCGAGCCCAGAAUCUCUGGUUUAGGGUUCAAUAAUUCAAGCUUGGAAUAAUUGUUAUAUUUGGCUUUGUUUAUUAUCUGGUUUUAUUCACACGUUUGAGCCUAAUGUGCUAAAUGUUGCUUUUUACCGCUUUGAUAUUGUUGAAAUGUAUAUAAACUAUUACGAAACCCUCCUCUCUCUGAGUCUUCUAAAUCAUCUGGGAAGUGUGCACUUCGUGUGACUUCUUUUCUGUUAGAUUCAUAUCCUAAUUUAGAACGAGGUUCGGACAAGUUGCAAAGCCGAUGAAGCUUCUAUAUUCCCGGUACGCUGCACCCCUUGGCUCGAGCAGUCCGCUUGGGUAAGCCAGGUCUAGAACAAAUAAACCUGGGUUUUUCAAACCUAGUAUAACAUAGCCUAAUGCCGGAUCCCUAGUAGGAACGCUUGUUUGCAUCACGUGCAUUUGACUUUGGGGACUCAACACAGGGGUUCGGUCCGUCUAGGAAAGGUGCACCCAAAUUUAAAAGACCAUCCUGAUACAUUUUACUUGCUACUUGCGCAUUUAUUUGACUCAGAUUGCAUGUUGACCGGCUUCUAGAAUAAGGGAGAGAAAAUUGAGAAAAACCCAAAUUGAGGUGAGAGAGAGGAAAUUACCCGCCUGUGAAAAACCUUGUGUCAAAAAUACCCCGAAACUCUAUCAAAAUUUUCAGAAAAAGAAAAAAAGUAAAAAGAGCUAUUUCAAAAAGUUUGUGUUUUCUGUUGCGUUAAAAUUGACCGAACUACGCAAGUUUGAUUCUCACCGGANNNNNNNNNNNNNNNNNNNNNNNNNUUUUGCAAAAAUAACCCCCAAAAAAAUAUAUGAAGUGUCGUUGUUUUGUCAUAAAUAAAUUAUGAUACCGUCCUUGUACAGAAUAGCCAAAAUGCCCAAAGGGGCACCGAAAUGCAGUUUUUGCAAGAAUAGCCUCCUAGGGUCCUUUUUCAAAUUUUGGUUGAUUAAAAAAAACAGUCCUAAAAAAAUAUUUUCUUUCUUGAGGUGUUGCAAAAAAAUGUUUUUUUUAUUUUGUGAAAAUUGGUGCUCUUCUCUUAAGUCAAAGUAAACCAUAGUCUUUUAAUCAGUCACCUUAAAUAAAUGUGUAUGAUGAGCACAAUUGAAAAUGAACCUUUCACAGUCCGCGAGGAAAUCCCGUUAGAACUACAUAUGUGGUGGAAUAAUUUGGGAGAAGUCAGCAGAAAAACUGUGAUAAAAGCUUUGGGUAGUCUUGUUGGGCUUCUGAAGAUCAAGCCGAGGAAGGAUAUAAUUGAGGCCUUGACACCCUUCUGGGACCCAGCGCAUAAUGUAUUCCAUUUUGCUGAUUUUGAGCUAACCCCUACGCUUGAGAAAAUAGUGGGCUACGCUAGUUUUAGUGGGAAUCUCAGAAAUUAAUACCCGGUGGCACCCAGAACAGUGACUCCUCACAAAUUUCUGGACCUUUUAAGCAUCGGUCGGGAAGUUCAAGAUGCAAAUUUGGCCAAGGUAUUAUGUACAUUCUACUUCUUGUACCAACGUUACGGGAAUCCUUACGGUUUUGAGAUGCCAGAUACCGGUCUUACUCAUUCGGGGAACAAAGAUAAGUGGGAAGCUCGACGGGGAUUGGCUUUUAUAGUGGCAUUCCUGGGUGUUUUGAUUUGUCCAAGAAAAGAUGGAAACAUAGAAUUGGGGCUUGUGGGAAUAGCCGACUUCAUGAUUAAAAAGGCAAAUGGCACCAUUGUACGGAUGAUUAUGGCGGAAAUCUACCAAGCCUUAACUAUUUGCAGAGAAGGAGGAAAGUUUUUUGAAGGAUGCCAUAUGCUUCUACAACUCUGGAUGGUGGAGCACCUUUGCCACCGCCCGGGGUACAUNNNNNNNNNNNNNNNNNNNNNNNNNGAACUGUGGCAUGACCAGUCUUACAUGCAUUGAAAAACAUGAACAACGGGUGGAGGGCUAUGAGUUUCCGGAUGGUACGGAAGUAUGGUUUGCACAUCUGAGCUCCCUGACUGCAAACAAGAUCGAAUGGACAUUCAGGUGGCUCUCGGUUAGUGAAGUCAUUUAUAUUUCGGUUGAGGUGUGUUUUCUUCUAUUGAUGGGUCUCCAGAGCAUUCAACAUUAUGCCCCGCACAGGGUUCUAAGCCAGUUGGUAGGUACCAGACCAUCAUCCCACAUGAUGAGGAUUUGAGUCGGCAGGUCAUCAAACUGGAACCAAAAGUUGCUUUCCCGGAAGAAAGGGUGCGUCGUAUUUGGCAUCAAUGUAGGUUCAUAGAGCCAAAGACUCAGGUAUGAGAUCUAUCUAGAGGCGAGUUGGAGCCUAGUUACACAUCUUGGUACGGUAAAAGGUCCCAAGUCUAUCAAGAGCCCGAACAGCCCGCAAAAAGGCCCCAUGUCCAACAAUUCACUGAUGGAGCGCAGGAGCAAUAGGAUUUGUUGGCAAAAGAGGCAAACCACAGAGCCACCAUAAGCAAAUUGGAGGGAUAGAUUCGGGAUCUUAAAUUUGACAAAAGUGUACAGGCCGCCGCCGACAAAGGGAAGAAGAAGAAAUUGGCUCAAGAAAACAAGGCCCUUCGAGCACAGAUCCAAAAAAUGAAAAUAGCUGCCGAGAAUCAGGAAAGGAGCCGAAAGGAUGAAAGACUCAUAAGUGGCCUCAAGAGGAAAAUAGCUGAGUAUGAGGAUGAUCUGGAAAAAUCUGAGGGUAAUUUGGCAAGGGCCCGAGCACAGUUAACGAAGAACGCAGAGGGACGAGCAGAGUUUAUUCGGCAACUAAAAAAGAAAUAUGAGGGAGAAGACACCAAGCUGAAGAAACAACUAACUAUCCUCGAAAAUGAGAUGGCCAAACAAGCUAAGAACUUUAAAUCAGAAAGAGAACAUUGCUAUGCAUUAAUGUCCCAGCUAGAGGGAGAUAUGCAACCAUUGCAAGGCCAAAGCCAUCAUGAUGCCCAGGAACUAGAAGCUAUGUCUCAACAAAUAAGGUGUUUGCUCCAAGAAAAGGGUAUCAUCAGGGAGAGGGUUAGAGCUAUUGCUGACUACAUCGUCAUGAAGUGCCAUGAAUGUGAAGACAUGACUAGAACCACCUUCUUUGCUGCGGUAAUGAUCUUUGUUCAUCAAAUAAUGAGCGACCUGGAGCACCUUCAAGGGGAUCUUGCGCAUAGGCCCGUGGCGAGACCGACUGAUGUCCCGCGGGCCCCUGGAGUAAUUAAGGCAUUGAUGUAUUCAUGAUUUUCAUUUGAGUCUAUAUUUUCAUUUUUCUUUGUUGGAGUCUGUUAGUCUGUUUUCGAGUUUGCACUUUUAAAUUUCUAUUGGAGUCUGUUAGUCCCUUUUUUUCGAGUCUGUUAGUUUUUAUGAUUAAAUUCUAUAGGAUGAGUCGUUGUAAUCAAGACGUUUUUAUUUUUGUGAAAAUUUGAAAACCCCAAAAAUGCUUGUUUUAUUUUUAUUUUUACACUUAUCCCCCAGAAUUACGCUUGGUCUAAUUCAUGCGGCAUCAUGAUACGUAUGCAAUUCCCAUAGGAUUCGAUCAUAACCGUGAAAUAAAAAGAAGAAAAAGACAGAAAAAGGAGAGAAAACAAGAGAAUUGCCGGAGGGAAAUAAUAGCACAACAAAAGAGGAAAAUGAGGGAAUAAAAGAAAAAUAAGAAUCAAGCAAAGAAAAGCAGGAAUGAAAAAAGAGAGAUGUAGCAAAAUAAAAAUUAGGGAAAGCCGGGAUGACGCAAGCAACCGAUCAAAUGUAUAAUAGAUAUGGUUAACAGCUUAGGAGCAUUGCAUUCCCAACGUGUGGUUGCCUAUCUGUUAAGCCCUAAUCGCUAACAAGUUUGUUGUUGUCAUCAAGUCCAGGCAUGUGGUUAGUUCGUUUGGCAUUCUGGCAACUCAUCCGUACAACACCAGGUCCAAAGACAAGUUGAUCAUGGCUAACCAAGAAAUGGAUACAAGUGUUAUUGACCCAUCAAGAGAGGGGGAUGAGUCUGAUGUUAACCUGAAAGAGGAGUUGUAUAAGUUGAAACAUCAGAUGGUAGAGAUGUACCAGGCAUGGGUAAAAGGGAAUCCACCACCAUCCUACCCCGCCAACCCUGCUUUUGUCCCGCCACUGGCUCAAUACCAAGAACCUCCCACUGUUGAUUUAUCUCCAGGCUUCCCUAUUUACCACCACUACCAGGGUGCCACUUCCCAAAUACCACAAGCUCCACCACCCAAACCAAAUCCAUACCCUCCUCCACCAGCCACCCCUGUUUUCGUGGCACCCCCAUCCGCUACACUCUACCGAUCCUCCAGUUAGCCUUUAUUCCAAACCCAAGAUAACCAAUACUAUCCCACAGAGCCUACUUUCAAGGCCGCAGAACCUUAAUCUUACACUCCUCAUUUCGACCUCCCUGUCGAGACUGAGAAACCACCUAAAAACCCAGAACAUGAGGAGAUGUUCAGGAAGGUUAGAAGCUUGGAACAGUCGUUCAGAAACAUGCAGGGACUGGGAGGCCAGGUGAGCGUGGCCUACAAAGAUUUGUGUCUAUUUCCCAAUGUUCAGUUGCCAGUGGGAUUUAAGAUGCCAAAGUUUAAUUUGUGUGAUGGGCACGGAGACCCGGUGGCCCACUUGAGAGGAUUUUGUAGUAAAAUGAGAGGAGCCAUCGGGAAAGAUGAGUUAUUGAUGGCAUACUUUAGCUAGAGUCUGAGUGGCUUGGCAUUGGAGUGGUACACUCGUCAGGAUCACAGCAGAUGGUAUACUUGGGAUGAUUUGGCCCAAGCAUUCGCCCAUCAUUUCCAGUACAACAUUGAGAUUGUUCCAGAUCGUUUGUCUUUGACUAAGAUUUAGAAGAAUCCUAGUGAAAGUUUUAGAGAAUAUGGUUUUCGCAGAUGGAGGAGAGCAAAAUGGUGGAGUAUUUUUUGUAGGCUUUGGAGUUUAACUAUUUUGGCCAUCUGAUAUCGGCCAUAGGCAAAUCUUUCAACGAGAUAGUAAAGAUGGGUGGCAUGGUUGAAGAAAGGCUUAAAUCAAGCAAAAUCAUAAGUUACUCGGCUAUCAAGGCAACUACCCAAGCCAUCCAGAACGGUACUGGAGGAGUGAUUGGAAAGAAGAAGAAAGAAGAUGUGGCGACAAUUGAUUCAGGAUCAUGGUUUGAACCUAGUGGCCUAUCACACCAAUAUACCCAGACUCGGCCCCAUCACCGAAGCUACACCCAACCCCCAUAUAAUCCAUCCCAGCACUACUUCCCAUCACCAGCCCCUUAUAUUUCUAUCCACCACGUCCAAACAUAUACUCAACCUCCUGCCUACACACAGUAGCGUGCCCCAGCCUCACAAAACACCUACCCAGCUGCAGAAAAUGCUUACCCACCCCCACGAGCCUACCGAAACCCUACCGACCCAGGUUUUCGACCCAAUCCAGCAUUCAAAAAUGAGAGGUUAUAGCGGAAGAAAACUUUCACCCCGUUGGGGGAGUCUUAUACCAACUUAUUCCAUAGAUUGAGGCAGUUGGAUAUGUUGAGGCCAAUUGAGUCGAAAUUGCCAAAUCCUCCUUUAAAGAACCUUGAUUACUCCGUGAGCUAUGAAUAUUGUUCUGGUACUCCGAGGCAUGAUACGGAGAAGUGCUGACACUUGGAAAAUGCCAUCCAGGAGCUCAUUGACAUAAGCCUGAUUGAAGUCCAAACUCCAAAGGCACCCAACAUCAACCAGAACUUACUACCAACCCAUCAGGAGACAAACAUGAUUGAGAUAGUACGUAAGGGAGGGGAGCCCAAGAAGACUUCACAGACCGUCAUGAUGAUUCGGUCCAGUGAUGUCAAGUCAGUCAGAAAAACAACGGUUGAAGGAUCAGUGAACAAGUUGAGCAUGAAAGCGGUGAACCAUCUGUGGUACCUAAGAAAGGAUAGCCAAGUGAUGUUAUAGCAAAGCAAGAAAAGUCAAAAGUGGUUGUGCCAGGAGUGGCCAACAAGCCUAUCAGAAUUAUGGAGGGUGCCCGUACAAAUCCUGUCAUCAUCAAGCCUGUAACCCAAUUGCCGGUAAUCAGCACCAAGGCCAUCCCAUAGAACUAUGAACGGGUGAUAGUGACCUAUAAGGGAAAGGAAGUGAAAGAAGAAGUCAAUAAGUCCCAGAGAGUAACUCGUUCGGGGAGAUACUUUGUCCUGGAAGAGUUAAGGAGAGCUAAAAUAUCCAGAGAUAACCCAAUUCUAGUGAAGAAAGCAGUAACUGAAGAAGAGGCGGAGGAAUUUCUGAGAAAAAUGAAGGUACAAGAUUAUUCCAUUAUGGAGCAGUUGAGAAAGACGCCUGCUCAGAUUUCAUUGUUAUCAUUGUUAAUCCACUCAGAUGAGCAUCAUCGGGACCUGAUGAAAAUUCUGAACGAGGCUCACGUACCUAAUAAAAUUUCAGUGAACUAUCUGGAAAAGAUCGCCAACAAAAUAUUUGAGGUGAACAAGGUCACCUUCUCUGAUGAUGAGUUGCCUGUGGAAGGUACUGAACACAACAGAGCUCUUUAUCUUAUGGUAAAAUGUGAAGAUUUUGUGUUACCAGGGUAUUAGUUGACAAUGGGUCCAGUGCAAACAUCUGCCUACUCUCUACUCUGAACAAGUUGAAAGUUGAUGAUGAGAGGAUUCACAAAAACAGCAUAUGCGUCCGAGGUUUUGAUAGUGGAGGAAAAUACUCGGUCGGUGAUAUAGUGCUUGAGUUGACAAUAGGACCGGUGGAAUUCACCAUGGAGUUCCAGGUGUUGGAUGUGGCUGUCUCCUAAAAUUUGCUAUUAGGUUGCCCUUGGAUUCAUGUCGCUAAAACAGUCUCGUCCACUCUGCACCAGAUGGUCAAGUUCGAAUGGGAUAUGCAGGAGAUCAUCGUGCAUGGUGAAGAUAAUUUGUAUGCUCACAUUGAUGCCUCUAUCCCGUUCAUUGAGGUAUAAGAUGACAAAGGGCCCUAGGUCUAUCAUGUUUUCGAAACAGUGCUGGUUGAGAAAGUUCCAAAAGGGAAAUGUGUUCCAACUCAAAAGAUAACCUCCACAUUAGUCAUGGUGGCCUUUGAAAUGCUGAAAAAUGGCUUCGUGCCAGGUAAAGGUCUGGGUGCAUCUCUGCAGGGUAUCAUACAGCCAGUGUCCCUCCAUGAGAAUUUGGGUACGUUCGGUAUUUCUAUUCAAACCUACAGCGGCAGAUGUGAAACAGGCUAAAAGGUUGAAACAGAAGGCAUGGGCACUUCCAAAGCCUUUUCUAUGUCUCUCCAAGUCUUUUGUCAAGCCCGGUCACCCAGUGACGACAGUUCCAAGUUCUGUGGUUGACAUUGAUGAAGAGUUAAUUGAAAGGUUCCAGAGGUUAUUUGAUGAUGUGAACAUGGUGGAAGUUGGAGAAGGUUCUAGCAAACCGGAAGUGCAGUUCGUCGGGCCUAAUGCAAAGCUUAACAAUUGGAAGGCUACUCCUCUAACUACCAGGAAGAAGUCUUGGUAAUUUGUUUUGUUUUCCUUUCUAUCUGGGUCAUUCCAGGGUUGUGACCUAGAUUUUUAUUUUUUGCUUGUUGAUGUACAAACCCUGUUUUCCUUUAUUUUCAGUGAAAUGCAAUUUCCCUUUUCCAUCAUUCCUGAUAGUUUUAUUUUUGUUUUUCUUUUCUUCUUUGUACAGUUCUUUUUUAUGCUGGUUUCAAUAACAUGACAUGCAUGAGGAAUCUUCGGCCCAGUCUUAAAAGUCAAUCUAAUUUUGAAAUAAUAAUCCAAGAAAUAGAGUGAGACGAUGAAUCAGAAUAUGAUGAGGAUGAGGCCUUUAAAGAGAUUAGUUAGGAAUUAAGCCAUUUUGAAGAAAAACUCAUGCCUAACCUGAAUGAUACAGAAGCAAUCAAUCUAGUGGAUCCAGAUAAUGUCAGAAAAACUAAGAUAUGCGUCCAUCUUAAACCACAAAUCAGGGAAGAUAUAAUUAAAGCAUUGUUUGAGUAUAAGGAUAUUUUUGCAUGGUCGUAUGAUGAUAUGCCAGGUUUAAGUAUCGAUUUUGUGGUCCAUAAACUGCCAAUUGAUCCAACAUUCCCUCCCGUCAAGCAGAAGUUGAGAAAUUUCAAAACUGACAUGAGUGUAAAGAUUAAAGAAAUGGUCACAAAGCAGCUUGAUGAAAAGGUCAUUUGGGUCACGCGGUAUCCCACGUGGUUAGCCAAUGUUGUGCCUGUGCCAAAGAAAGAUGGUAAGACUAGAGUGUGUGUUGAUUACCGUGAUCUCAACAAGGCAAGUCCAAAGGACAACUUCCCAUUGCCAAAUAUCUAUAUUUUGAUCGAUAAUUAUGCCAAGCAUGAGAUUGGGUCUUUUGUGGAUUGCUACGGGGGCUAUCAUCAGAUUUUGAUGGAUGAGGAAGAUGCGGAAAAAAUGGCCUUCAACACGCUGUAGGGAACAUACUGUUACCGGGUCAUGCCUUUCGGUUUGAAAAAUGCUGAGGAAACUUACGUGAGGGAAAUGACAACCAUAUUCCAUGACAUGAUACACAAAGAGAUUGAGGUUUACGUGGAUAAUGUGAUCGUAAAGUCCCGGAAGCAGUCUGACCACAUCAAAAAUUUGAGGAAGUUUUUCCAAAGGCUUUGCAGGUACAAUCUUAAGCCCAACCCUGCAAAGUGCGCAUUUGGUAUUCCUUCGGGGGAAUUGUUGUGAUUCAUAGUCAGUCGACGGUGCAUUGAAUUGGAUCCAUCAAAGAUUAGAGCUAUCCAGGAACUGCCCCCGCCAAAGAAUAAGACUGAGGUGAUGAGUCUUUUAGGGAGGCUGAACAUCAGUAGGUUUAUCGCUCAGCUCACGACAACUUGUGAUCCCAUCUUCAAGUUGCUAAAAAAGGAUGUUGCGGUCAAAUGGACCGAUGAGUGCCAUGAAGCCUUUGAUAAGAUCAAUGAGUAUUUGUCGAACCCACCUGUGUUGGUCUCACCAGAACUAGGAAGACCUUUGAUUCUUUAUUUGACAGUCUUGGAUAAUUCAUUUGGAUGUAUAUUGGGUCAACAUGACAUCACUGGUAGGAAAGAGCAGGCCAUUUAUUAUCUCAGCAAGAAGUUCAUAUCUUUUGAGGUUAAGUAUACUCCCCUUGAGAGGACGUGUUGUGCCCUGACUUGUGUAGCACAGAAGUUGAAGCAUUACUUGUCGUCCUACACUACUUACCUCAUUUCUCGCCUGGAUCCUCUAAAGUAUAUCUUUCAGAAGCCCAUGCCCAUAGGAAGGCUAGCAAAGUGGCAGAUCUUGCUCAUAGAGUUUGACAUCGUAUAUGUGAAUCAGACAGCGAUGAAAGCCCAAGCUUUGGCUGAUCACUUGGCCAAACACCUGGUAGAUGAAGAAUAUGAACCUUUGAGGACUUACUUCCCUGAUGAAGAGGUAAUGCGUAUCGACGAGGUCGAAAAGGAGGAAAAGCCUGGUUGGAAACUCUUCUUUGAUGGGGCUGCUAACAUGAAAUGUGUCGGGAUAGGAGCUGUACUCAUUUCUGAAAUUGGGCAUCACUACCCGGUUACGGCUCAACUUUGUUUCUAUUGUACCAACAACAUGGCUAAGUACGAGGCAUGCAUUUUGGGUUUAAGGCUAGCUAUAGAUAUGGGAAUCCAAGAAGUCUUGGUCUUGGGAGACUUGGACCUUCUGGUGCACCAGAUUCAAGGAGAAUGGGAGACACGAGAUUUAAAACUUAUACCGUAUCGACAAUGUCUGCACGACCUUUGUCAACGGUUUUGAUCUAUAGAAUUCAGGCACAUUCCAAGGAUCCAUAAUGAGGUUGCUGAUGCCUUGGCUUCCUUGGCGUCAAUGUUGCACUAUCCGGACAAAGCGUAUGUUGACCCUUUGCAUAUUCAGGCCCGCAAUCAGCAUGCUUAUUGUAAUGUGAUUGAAGAAGAACUUGAUGGUGAACUAUGGUUUCAUGACAUCAAGGAGUAUAUUAGGAUGGGGGUGUAUCCAGUACAAGCCACAGGGGAUCAGAAAAUAACAAUUUGUCGUUUGGCUAGUGGAUAUUUCUUCAAUGAAGGAGUUUUGAACAAAAAAACUCAUGAUCUUGGAUUGUUAAGAUGGAUAGAUGCUAGACAAACCACAUCUAUCAUGACCGAAGUACAUUCCGAGGUUUGCAGGCCGCAUAUGAGUGGAUAUGUUCUGGCAAAGAAGAUUCUCCGAGCAGGUUAUUAUUGGCUCACCAUAGAGCGAUAUUGCAUCAGUUUUGUGUGCAAGUGUCAUCAAUGUCAGGUACAUGGAGAUUUGAUUCAUUCCCCUCCGUCUGAAUUGCACACAAUGUGCGCACCAUGGCCCUUUGUUGCUUGGGGUAUGGAUGUCAUCAGACCAAAUGAGCCAGCAACAUCCAAUGGGCAUAGGUUCAUUCUGGUAGCCAUUGACUAUUUCACUAAGUGGGUUGAGGCUAAAACUUUCAAGUCGGUAACCAAGAAGGCAGUGGUCGAUUUUGUUCAUUCAAAUAUCAUUUGUCGGUUCGGAAUCCCAAAGGUGAUCAUCAAAGAUAAUGGGGCAAAUCUUAACAUUCAUCUGAUGUAAAAAGCAUGUCAACAGUUUAAGAUUACGCAUCGCAAUUCCACCCCAUAUCGCCCCAAGGCGAAUGGAGCAGUCGAGGCAGCCAACAAGAACAUAAAGAAGAUACUUCGAAAAAUGGUGUAGGGUUCCAGACAAUGGAAUGAAAAGUUUCCCUUUGUGUUGUUGGGUUAUCGCACUACUGUUCGCACUUCAGUAGGUGCAACUCCUUAUCUGUUGAUAUAUGGCACUAAGGCGGUGAUACCUGCAGAAGUUGAAAUUCUAUCCCUUCAGAUUGUUGCUGAAGCUGAGAUUGAUGAUGAUGAGUGAGUCAAAGCCCGUCUAAAGCAAUUGAGUUUGAUUGAUGAAAAAAGAUUGACAGCAGUGUGUCAUGGCCAGUUGUAUCAAAAGAUAAUGGCGAGAGCAUACAACAAAAAGGUGCGUCCCAAGAAAUUUGAAGUGGGUCAGCAAGUAUUGAAACGCAUCCUUCCACAUCAAGCUGAAGCGAAAGGCACGUUCUCCCCAAAUUGGCAGGGGCCGUUCAUCGUAACGAGAGUGUUGUCCAACGGUGCUUUGUAUUUAACAGAUAUAGAAGGCAAAUGUGUAGAUAUGGCUAUCAAUUCUGAUGUAGUCAAAAGAUAUUAUGUAUGAUUUCUUUGGUUUAAAUUAUGUUUGUUUGUACUUGGCAUGUUGGAAUGAUGAAGACAUUUUGUUUUGCUAUCUAAACACUUUAUCCUUUGUUACCCUUUUUGAGCCUUAUUUAUUUUCUUUCAUACCCCUCUUUUGGAAUCAGUAGCGAAAUUUAGAAAACACGAAAGCAAAAGAUAAGUAAAGAAGUAAAGAAGGAAAGAAGAGAGAAAAGAAAAGAAAAAUGGAAAAGAAUGAAAAGAAAGAUAGAAAGAAGAAAGAAAGAGAAAAAAAAGAAGAGAAAAGGAAAGAGAAGUAACAACAACAAAGUAAUUCCUAUGUCAUGAACUACGUUCCACCUGAUUCUUUUUAAGGAUACGUAGGCAGCCUCAUGGUUCGGUCCCAUCAAAAUAAAAAUUCAAAAGUCCCCAAGUAAAGAAACUAGGGCAGGAGUUGUGGUUGCUGUUAGAUAUCUGAUUCCAAAAGUUGUAAUUUUGAACCCAUUCAAGCUGUUUUGAGCCUUUGUGACACCCUUUCUUUCUAACCCUAUCCAAAAGCCUACAUUCUAGUCCAAAGAAAGUUUUUCCGAUCAGUCCUCGAGAGAUGCCAAGUCAAGCAAGUAGAGAUGAUUCAUAUCAGGGGCAACACUCCGUUUUGAGCAAGAAAAUAAAAAAUGAGAGUCUUAUUGGUGAAAACCCUUACGAGCACCAUAAGACGAUGGAAAGCUGAGAGAAAUUAAAAUGAGAGAGUCUUAUUGGUGAAAACCCUCACGGGCACUGUAAGGCGACAAUGAGUUGAGNNNNNNNNNNNNNNNNNNNNNNNNNCAAAGACAGUGAUUUGGCGAAGAAAUUGGGUCAUGGAGAUCUCGGGGCAUAAAGUAUGACAACUGAAAGGUGAUUGGUUGAAUAGGCUGGGCUGAUUAACCCGAGAUGCAUGUCAUGAUCAUUGGCGCCAGUUUUUCCACUCAGAUAAGCCUCUUUUAUUUUUCCCCUUUUAAACAGUCAUCCAAUUUUAGAUUUUCUUUUAUCCCUAACUCUCAAAGUCAUUGCAUUUCAUUUCUUUCAGGUUUAUUUCUCUAAGGUUUUUUCAAUGUCAUCCUUGUUUAAGCAAGUAAGAAAGGAUUUCAAAGAUUACUACCAAUUUCCAAGUUGCACAAGGCACAACGCAGCCAAAGCAUACCAGAGAUAGCAUGGUGUAAAGUGGGAAAUAAGGUGUUAGUGAAAGUUCCAUUGGUCGAAGGGUUUAGUAAUCUUGUAGGAGAUACAGAGGUUCAGGUAGAAAGGUCAUAAAUAUAAAGCAACGGUUUGGGCGUAGAACACUCGGGUCAUCCAAAGUCUCACGAUUGAGAGUGAGUCAGAAAGUCAAGCAGUUCUUGGCCAGUUCAAGGCAACUAGUCAAAGCAAAGCACGACAGUGGAGAGGCCACCUUCAGCAAGAAUGCCACAAACUAACCACCAUAUUUUAAACUGACAAGAUUUUUCUUUGAUUUGAAACAGGGGCAGAACAUUCUUUUGUUUAUGAGAAACCUUCCGUAAAGAAAGCAAGUACCAGAUAGGUUCGAUCGUAAAUUCGCAGGACCCUCCUGGACAAUGGGACCUAGUUAAAAUGCAAAUCAUCCAUUAGAUAACAAGAUCUAGCAUAAGUUUUACCUUGAGGAAAUAUAAGUUGGCUUUGAAGUUUUCAUUAUUAGGAUAGGAUUCAAUUUCAAAUCUUCAGGACCCUCCUGAAUAAUGGGACUUAGCUUGAGACCUCCAGUAGAUAACAAAAUUUAGCGUAAGUUCUGCCAUAGAAAAAUAUAAUUUAGCCUUAAAGUUGUCACUCUUAAGAUGAGAUUUGAUUUUAAUUUUUAGGACCCUCCUAAAUAUUUGAAUUUAGUUCAAGAUCAUCAGAGAUAACAAGAUUUAGCAGAAGUCAUACCUUUAGGAAAUAUCAUGUAGCUUAAAAACUGUCAGUUAACUAGGAAUUUUCAGGACCCUCCUGGAUAAUGGGAUCUAGCUUUCAAAUUCUUAGAGAUUUUUUGUCACAUAAUGUGCCCAGCUACCAAACUGGGGCAGAAAAUUUUCUUUGUUUUGUCUAUUCUGUUGCAAUCAGGCAUCUACUUGGAGAUCAAGGGAGAACAACACAAGUUUCAAGAAUGGAAAGCAAUUCAGGCACCCACCUGGAGAAACAAGGGAAGAUAGUUUAAAGGAAAAACAAUCCCAAGAGAAAGUAGUUCAAGUUCAGCAAUCAGGGGCCCCACUUGGAGAGCAAAGAGAAAACAAAUCAAGUUUCGAGGAAAGCAAUUAAAGUUUUGGCAAUCAGGCGCCCACCUGGAGAAUAAAGGGAAAACAAUUCAAGUUUCAAAGGAAAGGAAUACAUUUCAGGUUCAACAGUCAGGAGCCCACCUGAAGAACAAAGGGAAGAGCAGUUGAAGUUUUGGUAAUCAGAAGCCCGCGUGGAGAACAAAGGAAGAGUAGUUGGAGUUUUGGUAAUUAGGAGCCCGCUUGGAGAACAAAUGGAAGAGCAGUUUAAGUGUUGGUAAUCAGGAGCCCACCUGGAGAAAAAAGGGAAAAACAAUUCAAGCAUUGGAAAUCAGGCGCCCACCUAGAGAACAAAGGGAAAGCUAUCCAAGUGUUGGUAAUCAGGAGCCCGCCUGGAGAACAAAGGGAAAAGCAAUCCAAGUGUUGGUAAUAAGGAGUCCACCUGGAGAACAAAGGGAAAAUCAAUUCAAGUGUUGGUAAUCAAGAGCCCACCUAGAGAACAAAGGAAAAUCAAUUCAAGUGCUGGUAAUCAAGAGCUCACCUGGAGAACAAAGGGAAAGCAGUAAUGUUUAAAGGAAGACGGUGCAAGUUCGGCAAUCAGGCGCCCACCUACAAAACAAAGGGAAAACAUGUCAAGUGUCGGAGGAAAGGAAGAUAAUUCAAAUGUUGGUAAUCAGGUGCCCACCUGGAGAACGAAGGGAAAGCACCUAAGAAUAGAAUUUAAGUCAGCAAAAAAGGAAUUUCACCUGGAGAAUACAAGUCAACAGAUCAACAGAAAAUACAAGACCAAGUUUGAAGAUAUAGAUAGGAUUAUUGUAAUUCAUAGAUCAUAGUUUAGUCUUGUUUCUUUUAUUUUGUCUUGGUGUAAUAAGGAGUUCAGCAAGCAGUAGCAGCAAUAACAACAGUGAAAUCAUAGCUUCCUGGUAGUCCCAACUACCGAAACUUCUCAAACUAUACUAACCGGAUUCUUUUAUAUCCAAGGAUAUGUAGGCAACCUCGGAAGCAGGGUGCAGUCAAAUCUUUCCAAAAUUCUUCCCACGGAAUAUUCAAACGAGCAAAAAUCACUCGUAUCCGCUCAUUUUAUCUUUGCACGAAAACUCUUCGUGUUUUCGAGCAAAGAGGGGCAGUUGUGAGCACGUGAUUUUUGCCCUAUAGGAAUUACUCCCAUAAACUCUAAGGAAAUAAUGUUUUCCCAAUAUUUGCAAUUUUUGUAGAUUUUUCAUAGGAUUUUUUGUUAAUUGUUUGCAUUUGUCUGUGCAUGUUUAUUUUUAUUAAAAAUCAUGAAAAAGCCAAAAAUACCAUGCGUUGCAUUUAGGUCAUUUUUAUAUUUUUAAGGUUAAUUAGUCAAUUAUUUUCUUUAUUAAAAUCGAAAAUCAAAAACUGGUUUGUCUUUUGGAUUUUUAGCUUUUUAAUUCUAAAUUAGUAAUAUUUCUUUUUAUAAUUAGGAAUAAUUAAUUUUUACAUAUUUUAUAUUAGAAAAUUAGUUUAAUUUUGUAAAUUAAUUUAAGGAAAAAGUUUUAAGGAAGAAAGAAAAGGGACUGGUCCAAGUUAAUUGGGCCAAAAUCAUUGCUACAGCCCAAAUAAUCUCUACUCAACCCGUCCAAACAACAUCCCAUACCUGGUCCAAAGCCUUCAGGUAUUGAGACCCCUGAAAUGAUGUAGUAUGGGGGAAUACUACGUCGUUUUGAGUUCAAGAGUUUAAAAUUAAUCCUGGCCUUCCAUUUGACUUUAUCCAACGGCCGGGGAAGCCUCCCCAUUUUAAUUAAAAAUGUCCGAAGACCCUUUAGAACAACCUAGGACCGUGUCUUCGUCUCUCUCAGACUCUUCAUCUUUCACUGCCGCCUACCACCAUCAAAACCCAUCUUCACCGCCACCAAAUCACUCCAAAUCUUCACCCUACAAUCCCCAGCCUUCCCUCAUCACUAAUUCCCCAUUAGUUUCCCCAAAAUCACCACCAAAUUUGGCCAGUUUUGGAUUUAAAAAAAGAAGAAAAGAAAAUUCUUCCAAGUCUUCGAGCUCCCAAUAUCGAUUGAGGCUUAAACUGGCAUUGUUCAUCUAUUCUUAACGAGAACACGCAAUUAAUUCCAGUUUUGGUUCAAAUCAGAAACUGUCGGAUAGUCUGUUCAAGCACGUUCGUCUAUUUAUUUUAGGUAUCUCUAUUCAUUUAUUUCCCUGCCUUUGUUCUCUUCUCUCCCCAUUAUUUCUAUUUUUCUGUUUCCUUUUUCUCUUUGACCGGUUAAAAUUCGGAUAGCAGUAGUUGUGAGUAAUUCUGGACUAAUUUUGUCAAAAAUAUUAUAAUUAAUUUUGUUUGUUUGCCUUUAUUUUCAAGAUUUCGAGUUAGCAUUGAAAGAUGAAUGAGUUUUUUUUAUAUGCGAUCGUUUAGGUUUUAAUUUGGUUGGGUCAUAUUGUAAACUUCAAAUGCUCAUGUGGUUGGGUUAAGUUUAGCUUUGGGCUUUUGGGUCAUUUCUGACCCGUUCCAAAGCAGCCCAGGGAUUUUGGUUUAGUUAUUGGUUAACCUGACCCAUGUUGGAUUGCCUGAGGGUAAAUAAUAGAGGGCUAAAGGGUAGUUUAGGAAAUUGGGCAAGGGGAAUCUUCUUUAACUGCUUGGGGAAAUUUCUAAGAAGGUGGGGUUGGGUUUGUUUUAGCAAGCAGACUUUAAUUUUGGGGUUUGAAAUGAAAGAAUAAAAAAUCAAGGAAGGGGUAAUUAGUAAAACUUGAAACCAAUUCUGCUACCCUAGUACCUUCUAUAUAAGCUUUCUUUCAAUUAAAAUAAGCAGGGAUUAGAAUACUAAAAUUCAAAAAACGACUGAAAGAGUUAUUUUGAAAAAUGCAUUGAAAUUCUUGCAUCUUUUGGGGUGGAAAUAGGUUCCGAAUCUGCUCCUUAGUCUUGAGUGUUAAUUGGAAUUCAAAAAGCUUCAAGGAAGUCUUGUUUAUCUGGGUUAAAAUGGUCUAAAGAGUUGAACCUUGCUGUGUUUUGGAGUUGUUGAUUCAUCUACUCUGUUGCUACUGUUGAAUCCUUAUUUUCUUUGGUUUCUUUUGAUAUUCAGGUGCCCCUUUUGGACCUUAUUGAAGCUCAAAAUUGAAGCAUGUAAUCAAAUGUGGAGUUUAACCAUGAUAUUAGCAGAUUUUGUCUAGAAUCUAGCUUGUUUUUCUGCACUACAUUGGGUUUUAUUGUAUGAUCUAUGGAAUUUACACAUGUUGCUGACAGUACUUUUGAGGCAGUGUUAAACUUUAGCUUAGCAUGUAGGUUUAGUUUUUGGUUAAAUCCUUCAUGUCAUGUAUUUGAUUUUGGACUGUAUGAUAUAGACUUAAUUUAGGACAUUAUCUUAUUCAUAGUGCUUGUUAAUUAGCUACUUACUGAUUGUAAUUGUCUGGGACUGCUUUUUAAAGACUUUUGAAUGUGAAUUCAUGUGGUUGUACUGUUAAGCAUGAUGAUAGGAGUAAAGAUUAGUCCUUGAGUAAAAUUUCAGAAAUGGACCUUUUAUGUUGAUCGAUAGCAUGCUUAUUAGAAUUAUCAAAACGUGUAACAGUGUGGUAAUAGGCUUUAGGGAAUGGCUUGGGCCCAGAUUCGAGUUGGCCCUGCCUCAUGAUGGGUUCGCUUCAAUUAAUGUCGACCUCUAUGCCUCUCUUCUUUCUCGUUUAAUCUAAAUCGAUUUUGGGUCAUGGUAGUGAUAGAGCUUGCUUUGAAUAAUCAACAAUUCUCCUAUUUGGGCCCCGAGUUUGGCCCAGCUAAGUUCUUGAGGUUUCCAAUCUUUCACUCCUAACCUUGGGGUGUCCUUCAAGCCCAAGUCCUUUAUAGGAUGUUUAUUUCUUUUAGACCCGUGGCGAGUUUGGAUUUGCCCCCGAGUUUAAUUUUAGAUAUAAUGCCUUAUAUAGAUUUGGUUUGGAGCAAUGUAAAUGGAAUUUAACUUGGCUAAAAUUCUUUUUUUUGGUUUAAUUGACCGUGACUUAAUUUUAGAUUGAGGCGUGCCAUAUCAGCAAAUCUUAAUUUAUGGCCCUCUUAAGAUUAGAUCAAGGCUUCUUUAAGAAAGAGAUGGAGGUGUGCCAUAAGCAAGUUAAAUCAUCCAUGGCCCUCACACAUGUCAUAAUUUAUAUAUUAAAAAUAAACUCCGUAGUUUGCUUUAGGCGCGUUGAAUAUAUAAUUAUCAUGACUAUUAAAAUUUGGGGGUGCAUUUAUGUGACCCAGUUCUAAUUUCCAACAAGGUUAAGUAGAACGUGUCGGUGACUCACGAGUGUAUUUCAUGUAGCGUGGCUUGCGAUGUGUUUUAAAUAAAUUAAUUCUUUAAAUAGGUAAAAGCAGUUUUCAAAAGUUAAAAAUGCUCAUAGGUUUUAAAGUGUUUUAAAAUCAGAUAAAUAGGCCAAUAAUAAUAGUUGAGCGACCAUGCUAGAACCACGGAACCUGGGAAUUCCUAACACCUUCUCCCGGGUUAACAAAAUUCCUUACCCGGAUUUCUGUGUUCGCGGACUAUAAAACAAAGUUAAUCUUUCCUCAAUUUGGGAUUUAAAAUCGGUGACUUGGGAUACCAUAAAUUAUCCCAAGUGGCGACUCUGAUUCUUAAAUAAUUAAUCUCGUUUCGAUUGUCACCUAAAUUGGAAAAAACUCCUUUAUACCCUUCUGAGGGUAGUAAAAAGGAGGUGUGACAUCUGGUUCGAUGGUAUCUCUCCCCAUUAUAAUUUUGCAGUGCCACAUAGGCUGAGCUUGACACUUGUAGGGACUAUCAUCAUUUUGGAAGUUAGCUCGAAAAUGACUCAUCUUGUCGACCUUGGGUAUAACGUGCUUCCUACCAGCUUGUCUCAUAACUCGGAGAGGGACGUAAGGGUAUAUUCCUCUCAGACCAAUCAGUAUCAGGAAAGGUGCAUCUCUGGAUUGGGCGAUGAACUCCUCGAUCGGAAACCACUCGAACAUCCAUUAAACCUGUUCUUCAGUCAAAUUAUCAAAUAACUCAACCCAUCCUUUGGCAUUCUCAGGCUGAGCGAACAUAUCNNNNNNNNNNNNNNNAAAUCUCUUGUCGGUACUCGCCCUUUUGGAGAUGUUCCACGAGCUAGAGUUGAAGUAAUAAAUUGCAUCCUUCAAAGUGUUUUUCUCCUCGUUGACACUUCUCCAAGGCUCAGUAUAUGUCUGCAAUGAUCAUGGGCACAAUGUUGAAUGGCUACCCACCAAUCCCAUCUAUUAGGGUAUUAGUUACCAUAGUCAUCCUGGUAUGGAUUCUCCAUUUCUUCAUUGGAAACAUAAUCAGCCCCAGGAAACAAAACAUAAAGACGAAAACCCUUUGAUGGAUGUGUCCCAAGGAUAUGAUGGCAAACUCAUCAGGGUAGGUACAAUAGGAUUUGUUGUGACCGUACCUUUCAUACAGGUAGUCAAAAGGGAUGUAUGACUCCUUCAAGCAUGUCAAUUCUGUAUUCUUCUUCAAACCCAUCAUUUUGAGAAAACCCCUGCCUUUGCGGUUCUUAGGCAUUAGCAAACUCGGAGUCUCCCACACUAGACCAGCUAGUCCUCCUAUCUCUUCUAGCAAAGGCGUCAUUUCAAUGUCCCCAAAGCGGAAGACGACCCAUUUCACAAUCCCAAAAUAGUGUGGCAGCUUCUAUGAUCAUGUUGUUAGGUUGGAUCUCCAGAAGAAAUGGUAGAUUUCCCAGAUAUUUGCAGACGAGAGUUUGGUCACUAGAGGGUAAAUCUCUCCACCAGCUUAGCAAUCUUGGGUGGACAUUGGUGACCAUGCCGAUUCUGGGGACUUCAUACCUCAUAUUUCUACAAGACAAAUAAGGUUAGGCCCUUACCCCCACCAUACUUGACUACUUAAUACCAAAAAUUAGUAUAAAGCAUUUAGUUCUCCAAAUAAAUGCACAGAACGUGGUGAUGUCCAUUUAGGUUCAGGCAAACCCAGUGGACUUUGGACAAUGCUAUCUUAAAGGGUCAUUAUGUGGACAACAUAACUGACCCGGCUAGGUUUGACCAUGAUGCAUGCACAAUUUAAACAGAGUAAGGUUUCUAUAGGGUUUUAGACUGGUACCCUUGAGCGAACAACCCAAGGGGUAAGGCACGGAACUAUCGACUGCACCGUUGAUCGACUAGUUUUACCGCAAAUAUGACUUUUUGAAUUUAGGGGGUAAUGAUAUAGGAAGAGCGCAACCACUCAUUAAAAGCGUUGCUAUAGUAUUUGUUUGGCACGAGUGGAGUGUGAUGUUGAGCAUGAUUAUGCAAUAAUUAAAAAAACAUGCUGACAUGUAUUUGCACGUUAAGAAAGCGAUAAAUACAGCAGUUUUAUAAUUUAAAGCAACAAUAAAGGAGGGAAACAAAGAAGAUAUGUCAAUUUUGCAGCUGAAAAAGAGAUUAAAUGCUUAAAGAAAUUUAAACAAGUAAUUGCACAUAAGGGAGGUACAAAUUCACAAGAACAGUCUGAAAUGGUAAAAGCCUAAACAUCCCCAGCAGAGUCGCCAUGUUGUCGCACCCCCCAUUUUCCCUCCUCCAUCGGAGAGGAGUCCGGCUUUCGACAUUCUUGGGGGUGUAAUGACUCAUUUCCCUUUUGGGAAUUGGGUGUUUUGAAGAGUCACCCCCUAACAAUUUUAAGGUGUGUUUGGGCACCUAUAAGGUUCAACUACAACUAUGUUGAUAACCAGAGACAGGGUAAGGGCUUGAAAUUAUCCUAAGGGGAAGGUGUUAGGCACCCCUCAGGAUCCACUAGUGCGAUUCCUGGUCAGAUAGUUUUUUGUGAAUUUGCAAUUAGCAAGUAAACAAAUAAAGGCUCAAGUAAUAGGGGAUUUAAGUCUAAAUACACAAGUGCAAACAAUUAUUGAAAGGCAAGGCUUUGGAAAAGAGUUAUAAGGUAGACAUACUUAUAAAAAAUAAAAGGGGGCUCCUAGGUUUGUUUGUAAUAUGGAUCACCUCAAUGCAAUACCCGGUAUGACACUCUUCAGAAGAGGGGAUACACGUGGUAUCAGCGCACCGAUCAUCAUAUCCAUAUCUACCCUUCCCACCCCGUGAAGGUAUUAAAGCGCAGAUUGGUCUCCACAUAUAUUGCAUGCUACUACCCAUCCCAUUCCUAUCAGUCCCAGAGGAAUUUAGGACUACUAUUCCUAUAAGAGGGAGGGUUUAGGCUGACCCUUAGGUUUAAAGGUAAAAAGGCUAAGGCGACAUACAAAAAUAUGUAGGACUGCAUCUUGAGGGGGGAACAUAUAAACAAUUAGAAGGCUCAUGUAUACCUCCGCAAACAAUGCAUAUAAAUAGCAUGACUUAAAUACAGUUAAGGUCUGAAUUUUUAAAAAAAUAUUAAAGCAGAGUUUGAGUCAGAACCAGAUUCAUUAUACAACUCAGAAUAGAAGUCUGAAUCAGGCAUGUCUGCUGGUUGUAGCAGUUGGUAAUUAAACAAAGGCAUAUUCCAAUUUUAUUCGAGUAAUUACCUAAGGCUUGCCUAGGCAUAGUAGUGAUGUUCUAUGAGCAUGAUGUCUAUAUUGAUUAGGAAUGCAGUAGAGCAGUGAUUAAUUUUAAAUGGAUAACUCGAGAUCCUAUAGACAUGCUUUCUAACGGUAUUAAUGUAAGGCAGUGUUUGAAGACUUAUUAAAGAAGCAACAGAUUAAUUAACUAAUCCAAUUCAGAAUAAACAACAUGAACUAAACGACUUCUCCAACUACAUUGGUUUUAAGUUCUAUAGGCAUGAUUUCUAUUAUAGCUAUUUAGAUCCUAUAGGCAUGGUAUCUAAGUAUUAAAAGCUGACUUUGGACUUAUAGGCAUGAUUUCUAGGGAGACAAAUCUGAAUAUAUGUUGUAAUGAAAACUGAAAUUCAAUUACUUUACACCAUAUAGGCAUGAUAUCUAACUAUAAAACUGAUUUUAACCCUAUAGGCAUGAUCUCUAUUAUUAAAGCCAUUUAGAUCCUAUAGACAUGGUUUCUAAUUGUGUGAAAGUAAACAUGCAGAAUUUAUUUUAAACCAGAACAAAUCCUAUAGGCAUGUGAUCUAAUAGAUCAUAUUUGAAUCAAAAUAGACCCUAUAGGCAUGUUAUCUACCCAAUUUACCUACAAUACACGGCUACCCACCCUUUUUCACUAAUCAUCCCGACAUUAUUUACAAAUUAUUACAGACCAAAUGAUUGAAUUACAAAAGAAGUGUAGAAAUAAGAAAUUAUAACUAAAGGAAGCCUGAUCUUGACUUCCUCUCUGAGUUAUGUAAUGAACCACUUCAAUGCCAAUAUUUCAAAGUCUUUCUCAUACCUGGGUGAGUCAAAGUUUCCUAAGGACCUCAAGGGAUCCCGGGCAGUGCUCACACCCAUAUUUGCAUAACCAGACAAAAUGAGUGCAGUGUAGAAGGGCUAGCCCUUAUGUGUCCAAGUUCAUAGGGAGCUCAAGGGUCCCAAGGCAAGGCUCACACAAGAGGGGCAGAACCUAGAUUCUAAAAAUAUAGUGGAAGUGCAGAACACAUGUUGAAAGAGAUUUAUUUUAAAAACGGGACUGAUAGUCCGUUUUGAAAGCAAUUAGUAACAGAGGUGAUUGAAAUCAAUUGCAGUAGUAAAACUCACAUCUACAUAGAAUCAGUAGUCAUACAAAGGGGUCAGGGGAUUUUGGGGAUACAUUGCAUGUAAGCACAUGACCCCAGCAGGGGUCUGGUUUGGUCAUGCACAUCAAUAACUGAUGCUGGCAUGGUCACAGACAAGCCAAAAGAACACAAACACAUAGAGGGGAUAUGGGGUUUUGGGAUUCAUAAGACAGCAAGUACACAAAAGUGACUGACAGAACCCAUACAUAUAAGAGCACUAAUCUAAGGGGGAAGGGAGCAUAUUACAACAUGCUAAUAAUGUAACUUGACUGCAAAAAGAUAAGCAGAAGUAGGCAAUAGUGAAAGCAACUAAAAAACAUGUUGUUGUUGAGGCUUUAAAAAUUAACUAGGAUAUACCAGUAGAGAAGCAAAGUGCAGAAAGUAAAAGUAAGAAGGAUUCCACAGUCUAGCCUUGUCUUUCAGCCGGCUAGACAAAGCAGUAGCACAAGUAGUAGUAGAGAAAGAGAGAGAGUUUUGAGUGUAGGUGUGUGUUCUGAACUCAAAUUGUUCGUCUUUAAAGAAGAGAGGAUAGGGUAUUUAUAGUUUUGAAAACAAGUAAAGAAUAAGGUAAAAAGCAAGGUUUUAAUGCAGACAUGGAAACAAUCACAAUCAAAAUCAAUCAAUACAAGUACUUCCCUUUAAUCAGGGAAUUACUGCUCAAACGGAUACUAACAAGGUCAAAUAAAGGAAAGAAAUCAGUUUGGGAUAGAUUGAUUCUUGCCAUAUAAGGGGGCAGUAAAAGUAUGAAGUAAAUAAUUGAGUCUAAGUACAAAAUAUGUUAAUUUUGGGAAAGGAUUCAGCAAGGUAAAACAUCACAGUAAUUAAGGAAUGGAAUCAAUCAAUUUUAAACGAAUGAGUAAAAAUUAGGGUUUAUAAGAGAACCCUUUGCAAUCAGUCGUAAUAUUGAGGAAAUCAAGAAUAAUUGAGAAAGAAUCAUGACUCUGCACUUCAGCGUAUAAAUAGAACGAACAGAAAUAUCAGACAUGCAAAACGCAUUGGCAAAAGAAACAACUGGAUGCAGAAAAACAUGCAGCAGUAACAAGAGUAAGCUAGGGCUCAGUAGUCAACCAAGUCAAAUAGUCAGGGCUCACACUUAGAGCCAAAGUGAAGAAACCAGUCCAACAAGUAAAGAGAGUUAGAAACAAGUAAAGAUCUCACAGUAACAAGUGAGGAAAACCUUUUAAGAAAUUAGAGUUUCCACAAUAAUAAGAACUUAGAAUUAGAUAAGUCGAACAAAGACAAACAAAGGCAUCUUCAGAACUCGGAUAAACCAAAACACUUAGGCUUUUUAAUAUGAGGAACCAGAUGGAAGAAAAAUAUAAGCAAAUCGUUUAAACAAAGUAAAACAUUACUGAAAAAUCGGAGAAGAGAUCUUUGAAAAGAGUCUAAGAAACCCUAGUUUGAAAACGAAGAGUCACUUCGAAAGAAAACCGAAAACUCUUUUUGAAAAACAUCAAGAAGUUCAUAACAUGCAUAGAUCUAAAAUAGAUCUGAAAGAAAAAUUGAAAAACUCUUAGAGCUAGGGUUUCAGAGAACCCAGAGUAAGUGAAAAACUUUGAAAAGUUACCGAUCAAGCCGGAAAAGUCAAGGAUCUGACUCAAACAGCCAUGGAUGGCAGGAGAAAGGCCAUAGAUAGAAGUUGAACCAAGACUGAACUAGAUCCCUUUGAUAUCUGUCCAUGGAAUCACAAAAAUAGGUAAUCAGCAGACAUAGGAGAUGAGUACACACCUCAAAUCGCCAUGGGAGUCCAUGAAUUAGGUAGGGAUUGCAAGGGAUUAGGGUGGAAUUGGGUGGCGUCAGCUAGGGUUUAUGUGAGGCUGCAGAGAGAAUUGAGAGGAGAGGGAUUCAAAGGCAGCGGGUGGUGAGAAAUGAAUUAGGUUAAGGGGCCAUUUGGGUUUAAUUAUGGAAGGGUGAAUGGUGGCCAUUGAUCUGAAUGAUCAACGGCCUAGAUUAAAAGGGUAGGUCGGGAAUCCGGGUUUGGGUAGGGUUAAAUUUGGGCUAGGGUCGGGUUUAAUUAAGGAUUGGGCUGGGGAAUUGGGGUUCAAUUUAGGCCAAAAUUUAAAUACAAAUGGGUUGUUAUUUAAAUAGCUAAUUUUUCACUUUUUAAAUUAUAAAAAAUAGUAAAUAAUUUCUAAAAACUAAAUUAAAAGGGCUAAAAUGAUUUAUAACAAAUAAUUAACAAUUUAAAAAUACAAGCCUCAAUUUUAUGAAUAUAACACACAAUUAAACCUUAAAAUGCCUAAUAUUGCAAUUAUAUGCAAUUUAGCCUUAAAAUACUAAAUAAAAUUGAAAAAAUAUGUAAAAAUUAUUUUAUCCAUAUUUUGGCAUAAAUAUAAAAAUCUAAUAGAUGAAUUAUCAAAAUAAUAAUUUUGAAAACAAUUAUUGGGGAUUUUAUGGAUGAAAAAGGGAAAUAAAUCAAUUUAAAAACCUUAAAAAUUAUGGGAAAAAUAAUAAAACACUUGGACAUGCUUAUGUAUGUAUAUAUAUGCUAUUUUGAAAGUAUUUUGCAUACUAAAAAUAUAUAGGGAAAAAUUGGGUAUCAACACUCACUGGUAUGAAUGGUCGCCCAAAAGCAAAGGAUCGAAAGGUAUUAUAACAGGAGAACAAACCUCCGACAUAUUGGAGUCGGGGACUUGGUCCUAAGGAAAGUCACCCUCAACACCCAAAACCCUAACAAAGGAAAGCUAUGCCAAAAUUAGGAAGGACUGUACCGCGUCCUAGGAGUAAUCGGCAAAGGGUCCUACAAACUCGGUACCAUGGAAGGCAAACAACUUCCAAGAAAUUAGAACAUAUCAAUGCUGAAUUGAUACUACUGCUAAGGUGUCCGAUGGAAGAAUCUAAAACAUCCUCAAGCUCGAGGACCUCGGGCUCUUAAAAGAAUGCGUUGCACUCUUUUCCUUCGACCAAAUUUUGUCCCUAGAAGGGUUUUACCGGCAAGGUUUUUAACGAGGCAACAUCUAUAUGCUACCUAAGGAAAACUCAAUAAGUAUUCAAGGCUUCUUUUGCAGUCAACCUCAAAUACUGGAGGGCAUCCACCCGAAAGGUCACCUCCUAGGAAAAUCCAAGAAGUGUUGAACGGGGUCUCAAUAGGAAAAUAAUGUACCAGGCCAAACGGUCGGACGAACCGUGUUCGUACAAGAAUAACUGAGUCCCUAACAGCGAAAACAUGUAUACUUGUACCAAUUAAUCAAAGAAUACUUUCUAUCAAAGCAUUUCACGUUUCAAAGAAGCUCGGUAUUUUUGCAAAAUGGUCGCAGAGCCAAAAACAUCCUGAACACUUGGACUAGCGCCAAUAACUCAAAGUCGUAUGACCCCUGGGUCGGAGCUUCAAACUCAUAAGCCCUCAAUGAGGCAACAUCAAGAUCACAAAACAGCCCCAAAGCCAAAAACAUCCCGAACACUCGGGGACUGGCGUCGAAACCUCAAAGAUCACAUGACCUCCGGAUCGAAAAAUACGAAAUCGUAAGCCCUCAAUGAGGCAAUACCAAGUUUAAAAGUAAUGGCUCCCGAGCCAAGAAACUUUCAAUGACUCGGGAACUACUGCCAACCGCCACCCCAUCGACUUAUCAAAACCCGAGGCCAUAAGACCACAUGCGGGCAGCCUCGGUCUCGUAAGGCCUAUAUAAGGCAACAACAGUAUCUGUAAGACCUCAAACAAGGCAUGAACCACACUUAUACUAAGUGACAAUAUGUGUAAGACCUCAAGCGAGGUAUGAACCACACUUGUACCAAGUGACAAUAUCUGUAAGACCUCAAGCAAGGCAUGAUCCGUACUUGUACCAAGUAGCCAAAAUUGUAAGACCUCAAAGGCAUGUAAAACUUGUAAGACCUUACUAAAGGCAUAAACCCGAUCCUAAAGUUAAGGCUAUAUAUCGAACUUGUAAGACCCCUAAAAAGGCAUACCCUCGAUAUAGACGCCGAAACUACUUCACUCAAGGACUGAAAGGCUCCGGCCAAACACAAUGACUACGGUCACAAGGCUGUACCAGCCAAACUAAUGCGACUCGGGGACGAUCGACCGUCGCUAUAAAAUCACAGGCCUUCAAUUACUUCAAAAAGAACCGGUUAAACAGGCUACCCUCGACAUAGGCAAAAGUGCUUCGACCAUGUCAGCUCCAAACUAUAAGGCUUUGAGAUACUCAGCUGCCGAGCCAAACCUCCCGAGAUGCUCGAUCAUCGCCAUAUAAAGACUCACAAUCGAGGUUUCUAUCAAACCGUUGAAAGAGUGAGGCAAACACAAUUCUAAAAAGUCCUUAAUGAGGGAAGAAUAAAGCCUAUAUAAAAGGCCUAAGGGCCCAACGAGUAAGAGCCACUGUCGCCAGCACUAAAAUCGAAGGUCGCACCGAUCCAACGCGUAAGAGCCUAAGGACCAGCUUUAAAUUCAAAAACAUGAGGGUCGAAUGAGCUCGAGUCGAAACCUAACUCGGAGACUGAACCCAAAACAAUUAACUAAAUAUGCCUAAGAGCAAGAGCAUAAGAGAUCAAACGUCGGCUCACACUAAAAGGUCGUACUGACCAAAUGCAUAUGAGCCACUGUCGCCAGUACUAAAAUUGAAGGUCGUACCGACCCAAUGCGUAAGAGCUACUAUCGCCAGCCUAUACAAAAGGCCUAAGGUCCCAACGCAUAAGAACCACUGUCGCCAGCACUAAAAUCGAAGGUCGCACUAAUCCAACGUAUAAGAGCCAGGUCUAACCUGAGAACACUCGGGAACUGACCUUCGACCGUUAUGAGUCGCUAAGCAAUAGCAAAAAUCCGAGGGUCUAACCCAAGGUCUAAGAUCUCGUAUCGAUUAUCAAAAGAAACUACACAUUAUUCCCAAAGGGCAAAUAAGAAAAAACGUGAUAAAAAAUGAAAAGCCUUUUAUACAUAUCGCUCACAGAGGUACGAUUACAAGGCCUUUAAAAAACCCUUACAAGGAAGGAGCCUAACAGAACCCUAAUCUAUCAUUGAGCCUACAUCUUUGAUGGCUCCGUCAGAGGUCGUGCCCUAACAGUUCCCGCUACAGCCCCAGGACCUUCAACGACCUCUUCCCCUCUAGGGAUCCCGCCUUCAUUCUCAUCAUCUCCUAUGCCACUACCCGACACACCUCCAGAAGCAAACAUGGCAGCAGCUUUCUUCUCUAGGGUCUUCACCCUCUCGAGCUCGGCAGGCAAAUUAAUAUUCCCCGCAUAUAUAUCCUCGAGAGUCUGCCUCCGAGAUUCUAACCAACCAUUCUCUACGACUCGAGUCAAUUUCAAUUCGUCCUCCUCAGACACUCUCCCGUCUUGAGCAUCUAUUACAACGGAAUCCUCUUUGUGCAAAGAUAUAAACGCCUCAACCUCAGUUUUGAUCUCGGAUAAUGCAACAACUAACUCAGAAUGGAGACCUCUGUACUUCUCACUAUCCGCCCUUGCGUCAUGAAGCUGGUGCCGGACUAAGGCCAUCUUUUCCUGGAGGGUAUACCUCUCAGAAGUUAUCUCUCUCAUAUGCCGUUUGAGUUCGAGAACUUUGGAGUCUCUGGAUCGGAGAUCCUACCUCAGUAGAGCACCUUCCUUCUCAAGUUGCAUGAAUUGGAUUAAAGAUGUCAAAACGCUGGGAUCUGGCAAACAUUCAGACAAUAGCAAACGGAAAUUAGGUAACCUGUUCAGUAAGAUGAGCCUUCUCACGCUUAUGACGAUUAACCUCAGCCUGAAACCCGACGAAAGUCUGAUUAUAAAGCGCUUGAAGCCAUGAAAAAGACAAGUUAGAAAGACAAAUAUCAGGACGACAGGCAUGAUUUACAAAAACUACCUACUCACAAAGCCUUCUCAUCUCGCUGAAGAUGAGUGAAGCAUCAAGCUCGGGAAUUCCCUCGGGAGAAGAUAAAGGCCUUUCAAAUGCAUCUUUGUCUCCGAUAGUCACCCCCACAUCUGAAGGUUCUUCAUUUAGGGCAUCUUGUGUUCUCUUAGGAGGUAAGGUCAUUCCCUGAGGGGAAUCACUCACGACAACAACACCAACAGGGUCAAUCGGGGCCACCUCUUGUCCCUGCAGGGCUUCAGAACUGGGUUUCUCCGAACCACCUACCAAAUGCGUCUCAGCUCGAAGGACAUUUUGGCCAUCGGGCGGCUCGGGGACAUCACCCAAUACUCCCUCAGUGGCCUCUCUAUCCCAAAUUUGGACCACGGCGACAUCAAGAUCCGGCUCGGGAGCCACCAUCUCUACGGCGUGAGGGUCGAUCGAGUUUUCCCCGCCUCAGAUGCUAUCAAGAAAUUAUUUUCCCCCUCACCUUCAGCUCGGGGACUUUCCGCUACUUCUAGAGUUAGGGUUGUCAGGUCGGCCUUAGUUUCUUUCACCUUGGUCUUCUUGGAUUCUGAAGGUUCAUUCAACGGUUACCUUUUGUCUUUUCUUCCCUUCAUCGGGUCCCAAGGUACCCUCUUCACCAAGAGAUGUUCCCUUCAUCGGGUCCCAAGGUACCCUCUUCACCAAGAGAUGUUCCCUUCAUCAAGGGGACACUCCCCAGACCUACACAAAUGCAAGAGGUAAGCACAGGGAGUAAGUACGCUAUCAGUAGCAAUUCCGAUUAAAAGGUACGACUGCAACAGGAGUAAAGGCUCACAGUGGUCCUUGGCUUCCCAUAGAGCUUGGUACAGAUCAUGCCACACUCGCUCAACGUAUGGGAAAAUUGAGUCCAGCCGACCGACCCAGCCCGAGAGAUUCGUAACCAUGCCAGUGUAAACUACUACGGUUGCAUCAACAGAAAAAUCAGCGUGUAGAAAGAUGUACCUAAAAAGAAGCAAAGAGAUGCUAGAUAACGUAUCUACUUAUGUUUUGUGUUCCACUUUUUGGGGAAUGGCAUCCUUUCUAUCGGGAUCAAGUCCAAAGUCCUAACUCGGAUAAAACAGCUCAUCCACCCUCCAUUCCCGACUUCAUCGAUGCAAGAAAAAAGGGCCAUUGAAGCUCGACAUUAGAGCUUAAUCAGGCCCCCACAAAAUAGACGGGGGUUGUACAUCCUGACUAGGUGAUCGAGGGUGAAGGGCAUCUCCCCAAUCAUGUUCACAUAAUACCUGAUCAUGUAGACAAUGCACCAUAACGAAGGGUGAAUUUGGCUAAGGGGCACCUGACACCGUUGGCAGAAGUCGAGAACCACCGGGUCUAUCGGAGGUAAGGAUGGCCCCACCGGCCCAAGGGUAAAUGGGUAAGUAUACAUACUGAGAAAAUUGGCUUUGUAUGUUGUUAUAUCCUUUUCUCGAUAAGGGAUCUCCACGAGCACUGCAUCCCUCCAACGGCAAUCAGUCCUCACCCUUUCUACGUCUAUUAUUGAGCUAAUAUAUUGAGACACAAGCUCACGACGCCCCGGCUUCGAAGAAGGUUUUUCGACCUUGAAAUCGGAAGCCGUUGCAAAAGACCUUGGAAUGCAUUCCUCAACACGAGGAGGCAUUGAUGUUUUACUUUUAGAUGAAAGCGAGGAGUAGGAGGUUACAUUCCCCUGAGAAGUAGAGGCAGAAGUUUUCGCCAUUCUUAAAAGAUUUCAAAAGACAAAAGGAAAUUGUGUUUCAAAGAAAGAACAAAAGUGAAGGUAGAAGGAACUUUUUUGAGGGCUUGGUGGUGCAGUAAACAAAAAAGAAUGAGAGAAGAGGUAUUUAUAGAGGCCCAAUAUGCACGUUGAAGGAAGCCAAAGGACAGCCAGUAGUUGUAAUCAAUACAAAGGCUUUUAAGGGCUGUCUUUAUGCGACCUUUUGGCACCUUAUGAAUGUCGUCGUUACAGAAGUACCAAAGGGGCAGGAAUUCAAGGUUGUUUCUUAUCACUUUCACUCCAAGAAACGCGAGGACUAUCUGUAUGUGGCAAAAUCAGAGGGUCCAAUUUUCUGUUGUUGCGAUGCCUCGUAAGAACAUUUCAAAGGUCCGAGACUAUGGUCGUUAUUCACCCCCCCCAAGGGCUAUCGACGCUCGACCUCGGGGCAAUGUAGACCAAUGGUUAUGGUGGAAAAGUGAGGUCCCCAAGGCAUGUGACUAAAGCUGACAAGGUCUAUUAGGCUAGUCCAAACCCGCACCAUGGUAUUAAAUGGUUGUACCAGCCCCAUAUCUUUGUAAUAAAUGCAUUUAUACUAUGUUGGAUUCCCCCUCAUAUAAAGGGGAUCCUUAUCAUUUUUUAGGGAUCUGUUGCUCAAUACUAAAUAUACAAAAACAUUCUCUUCUGGUCUCUAACAUAUUCUCUUGAUCUCAUUGCUUCCAUUUAUUGCUUACAUCCAUUGUGUUCUAUUUAUUGUUCAUCAUUUAUUGCUUAUCAUUAAUCAUAAAGAGCCAUUAUGAUAACUCUAAUAACUAUUAGUCCUCCUUCGAUUGCCCUAAGCCGACCUCCAGACUCGACCUCGAGGCCUCAUAUACAGCAACUCGAGGCCCCGACCUCUAGCCACUCGGUUUGAUUAUCACAUCGUCUCUAAGCUAUAAUCUUAUUUUCUAACCUUUUACUUAGCAUCCAUUGCCUAGCAACUAGCAUAAAAAUAGAUCACGUAUUUUUAGAACCACAAAAUCAAAUUUAAUUGUUAUUACCAUUUUCAUAGUAAACAUGAAUAUAAUUUGAACUGGUUUGGAGUUAAAGUUCUUAGUUAAAAGUUACAAAAAUUCUCUACGAUACAUAUCUCACACAAAAGUACAUAAAUACACAAUAUGCGUGUGAUGUGUGGCUAUAAUUCCAUAGUUUCGUACAUCAUUUAUCUUGCAUUAUACAUGAUUUAAUGACAAAUUACAAUUUAUUUGCGUGUAAUGGAGUCUAUUUUAUGUGUAGGUGCAUCGGAAAUGAAAGUAGAGCUAAGGGGAUGCUUAAAUGUCGAAAGUACGCUCAAGAACAGUGAAAAGGAGAAGUAGGGCAAAAGCCAGCUCGACAAGGCUUUAUCCAAGUGAGGCCAGCUUAAAGCCAGGCCUAACCAGGCUUUAUCGAGGUGAAGCCAGCUUAAAGCCAGGACUAGGAUGGCGUUAUCCAGGCGAGGCCAGGACUAGUUGACCUACACAUUUAGGUCUUGUCCUAAACAUAUAAAUAGACCUAAAAGCAUCACUUUUGAAGAAGGGAGAGAGAUGGAGAAGGGGAGAUCGAGUUUGGACACACUUGAGACCUGCGGAGGCAAGAACACACUAGGAGCAAUGUGGAGAAUUCUUCUACGAGUUUUUCAAUUCCUUCUUCCUAUUUCUAUUAUUGGUUAUGAAUUCUAUUAUUGUAGUUAUGCCUACUAUUAUGAAUAGCUAAUUUGUUAUCUAGGGUUUUGAUAGAACCUCUUGAAGGAUGAUUUUUUGUUACGUUAAUAUAGAUUUGUUGUAGUAGUUUCUCUAUUUGUUCAAGUACGUUAUUAUUGUGGUUGGUUAAAGAGCUCUCAAUCAACUGUGCCUAUUUAGUGUGUAUUACUCGGGAGAAAGUGCAUAUUUAGGUAGUUGUUGAACAACAUCACUCCUAACGUAUAUGAGGGAUCAAUACGAAAGGUUUAAAGGUAGGAUUAGGGAUAACGAAACCUUGGGUGCGAUCUAAGUGAGCUGUACUUAAAGCUAGCUAGUGUUAUUUGGGAGAAUAUGUCUAGUAAAUUGUGGUAAUUACUCGGGAGAGAGUUACGACAGUCAGAGCGCUCAUGAUCGGUAGAUAAUACAUAGGCGAAUUUAUAGAAAAUGUAGUGGAAAGGAUUCCGACAAUUGGGAAAUCAUAACUCUAGACCUCCUUAAUCUUUUCUCCAACCCUUAGUAUCUUUAGUUGUUAAUUUACUAUUUUAAUUUAUUAGUUAAUUAGUUAAACACAAGAAUAUUAAUAUCUAUAAGUUAGGAAUUGUUCAAGCUUGUCUUCUUAGUGAUAUUGAACAGUUGUAGCUAAGCCUUAGUUCUCUGCGGGAUUCGACUCUGGACUUGUAAACCGAGUUAUAUUUACAACGACCGCUUAGUCCUUUUUAUAAGACAUAGUUGGGCGUGAUCAAAUUUUUGCACCGCUGCCGGGGAACUAACGGUCUAGUUGUAGGUGUACAUAUUCCCUAGUUUCAAGUUUGAACUUUUAUUUUAUUAUUUUAUUUUUUUUAUUUUAAUUUUAUUUAUUUAUUUGAGAAACAUGGCAUCAUGGAAUUAUGAGAGUUUUGAUGUUGGUAAUUCUACUUUUAAUCUUCCUUAUACAUAUUGUGAAGGAAACCACCAAGGGCAAAAUUAUCAAAAUAUUCCCGAGAAAGAGUUUUGUUCACCAACUCAAUCUUAUGUAUGGAAUGUGUGUGAUAUGUGUGGUAGUCAAGAUGGUCACUUUUAUGGUUGUGCUUAUAUUUCUCUUCUUCCCCCAAUACCUUACUUUGAUGGUUCUUCUUUUUCUGGUGAAGUUAAUGGGAACAAAGAACCCCGGGAAGCUGACCUAAAGAAGAUCGAAGAUAUGUUAAAGUGUCUUUUGGAACAACAUAGUAAAUUACAAUUGCAGAUAGAAAGGCAAGAGGAAACUAUUCACAACUUGAAAGUUCACGUGAGGCAACUGGUUGAAGAUUUUAAUGCUCAACAAGUCAAUAUUGUGAAUAGUAUCCAAGAAAGCGUGAAUUAGAUACAGAAAUUGAGGUGCUAGUGGAGAAGACCAGAGUAGUACACCAACAAUCAAUCGAGCUAGAUUUUGAGGAUGUCGAUGUUGUAGAAGAGANNNNNNNNNNNNNNNNNNNNNNNNNCCCAAUGUUCAUGUUGUUGAGCGCAUUGGUCCACACUCCAAGUAUUUUUCCACAUUGUGUUUGGAUGAUGAUAUGGAAAUAGAGUCGUCCGAGACACUUGAGAAGUGAAGGAAUGAGGAACAAGGUGCCUACAUUCUGGAAUGCUUCUUGCUAGAAAGUCGGGAAUACACAUCUCAUCUGAAGGCCAAGAAGUGUAGAAUACUACAUUAUUUUAUGGGGCCAGUCAGAUUCGUUCCACCACCCCUAGAUCAUGAUCAUAGAGCAGAAUCAAAACUUGGGGUCCACUUUAUAAGUUCAAAUUGCAGGCAGAAAGUGACUCGCGUCGGGCCGCGAUGUUAAAUCAAGCGUUUGUUGGGAGGCGACCCAGCUUUACUGCUUUUUUAUUUUAUUUUUUUAUUUUUUUAUUAUAUUAUUUUUGUAGUGUCGAUUUUUUAUUUUCUAGGAGCAUGAAAAGCAAAGCUAUUGGAAGGAUGCAACAGCAAACCAGUUGGUUGGUACUAAGUGUGAGGUACCCGCACGAAGGACCAAGCCUGGGAGAAGUCUGAGUACCCCAUGAGCUGCUAGUGUUUCGGCCUUUGGCCUACCAGGGAGUUUCUUUUAUCCUCUUAUUAGUUAUGGUGUGCAUUGGGGACGAUGCACAAUUUUAAGUAUGGGGUGAGGAGAUUGUCUGGGUGACUUUCUAUGCUAUUUUAGUUGUGUUAGUUUAAUUGAAUAUUUUUUUUAUUUUUUAGAAAAAACGAAAACAAAAGAUUGGACUUUUCCCGACGAUGGAUAUCCUAGAAAAUUUUCUUGAGGGUUUUUGUCUAAAAAAAGACAAAAAGGUUUUCUUUGUAGGUAGUGUAGUAAGUCCCCUUUGGUUUUUCUUUGUGCCGCGGUUCUUUUUCAAGGGUUUUGUUUGAACCGGGUAUAGUUAGUUUUAUUUUUUUAAGAGUAGGAGCUAGUGUGAGAUGAAUUGAAUUGUAACAAUAUCUCUGAGCUUUAUGAUGCCUUGAGAAUAGAGAGUACUUUGGUUGUGACGCUUAGGCUCAGUUUUUGACUCUUGUAGAAUUACCUUAAAUUGUAUGAUCUUAAAUUUGCUUAAUUACUUUGACUAGAGUGUCUUGAUAAAAACCAAUCAUGAAUGAGUUAUGUGCCAUGUGUGUGAGAGGUUUUGUGUUAUUCUGUACGCUGCAUUUGAUGUCUAGAACUUGCCCUGUGUGUUUGCAAAGCGAAAUAGUAGUUUUGUUCAGUCUUGAAAUUGAUAUAGGCGUUUCUUUGUUGAGCCAGAUAUGUAUAUUUUACCCGCCUAAUUGCUAUGUAAUGUAGUUAACCUCUUUGAGCAUGUAAUCUUAUUUCUUUGGCAACCACAUUACAAGCCUUACCAAUUUGUUUGAAUUAACCAUCUAUUUGAACCUUUUAACCUCUCAUGAACACUUGAAUUAUUAUGAACUUUGUAAAAGUUAAAGUGUGGGGUAGUUGGUUUGGCUUUUGAGUGGAACUAAUGAAAUAAGGAGAAAUGUCCACUGUUUUGAAAAAGUAAGAGCCACUUGAUUUGAAAAGAAAGAAAAAGAAAAAAAUAGUUGUAUUGUUGUGAAAAAAAUAUUCCUUGAUAAGUGGUGGCUUUUGAUGUUAUUAUGCUUAAAGAAGUAUAAAGUUAAUAUAUAUUGAUGUGAAGGUGGAGUUAAGGUUUGAUAUAAGUGUGGGGUUUGAAUGUUAAAAUAUAUGUAUUAAAAUGCUUAGAGAGGUGUAGUCACUCUUAUAUCCAAAUGUAUCCUACCCGACCCGUAGCCUACAUUACAACCAAUUAAAGUCUUACUUGAUCCUAGACUGAAUGAGCUAGAUUAGUAGAGUAGUACACUACGAGCAAGCCUAUGGUACAUCUUUUUGGCAUAUGAAUGUUAUUUCUGAGAGUGAGUGAACUCUUUCUAUCUUGAGUUCCUAAGUGUACUUAAAUUUUAUUGUGUGGAANUANNNNNNNNNNNNNNNNNNNNNNNNNNNNNNNNNNNNNNNNNNNNNNNNNNNNNNNNNNNNNNNNNNNNNNNNNNNNNNNNNNNNNNNNNNNNNNNNNNNNNNNNNNNNNNNNNNNNNNNNNNNNNNNNNNNNNNNNNNNNNNNNNNNNNNNNNNNNNNNNNNNNNNNNNNNNNNNNNNNNNNNNNNNNNNNNNNNNNNNNNNNNNNNNNNNNNNNNNNNNNNNNNNNNNNNNNNNNNNNNNNNNNNNNNNNNNNNNNNNNNNNNNNNNNUUGUGCUUAGUCNAUUUUAAAUGUUCUUGGUGUGACGAGUUAAGGGAAUUGCUAAAAAGGUCAUGUCUAUAAGUGUAGUUUGAUUGCUCUUGGACGAGCAAUGUUUAAGUGUUGGGUAUUGAUGUGUGCCUAUAAUUUCAUAGUUUCGUAUAUUAUUUGUCUUGCAUUGUACAUGCUUUAAUGAUAAAUUACACUUUAUUUGUGCGUAAUGGAGUCUAUUUUAUUUGUAGGUGCAUCAAAAAUGAAAGUAGAGCUAAAGGGAUGAUUAAACGUCGAAAUUACGCUCAAGAACAGUGAAAAGGAGAAGCCGGGCAAAAGCCAGCUCGACCAGGCUUUAUCCAGGUGAGGCCAGCUUAAAGCCAGGCCUAACUAGGCUUUAUCCAGGUGAAGCCAGCUUAAAUCCAGGCCUAGGCUGGCGUUAUCCAGGCGAGGCCAGCUUAAAGCCAUCCCCAAUCCGAGUUUUGAAGGUUUUAAUUGUUUCCCGGCUUGACUAGGAGUUGACCUACACGUUUAGGUCUUAUCCUAAACAUAUAAAUAGACCUAAAAAUGUCACUUUUGAAGAAGGGAUAGAGACAGGGAAUGGGAGAUCGAGUUUGGAGACACUUGAGACCUACGGAGGCAAGAACACACUAGGAGCAAGGUGGAGAAUUCUUCUACGAGUUUUUCAAUUCCUUCUUCCUAUUUCUAUUAUUGGUUAUGAAUUCUAUUAUUGUAGUUAUUGAUACUAUUAUGAAUAGCUAAGUUGUUAUCUAGGGUUUUGAUGGAACUCCUUGAAAGAUGAUUUUCCUAUUACGUUAAUAUAGAUUUGCUGUAGUAUUUUCUCUAUUUGUUCAACUACGUUAUUAUUGUGGUUGGUUGAAGAGCUCUCAAUCGACUGUACCUAUUUAGUGUGUAUUACUCGGGAGAGAGUGCAUAUUUAGGUAGUUGUUGAACGACAUCACUCCUAACGCAUAUAAGGGAUCAAUACGAAAGGUUUAAAUGUGGGAUUAAGGAUAACGAAACAUUGGGUGUGAUCUAAGUGAGUUGUACUUAAAGCUAGCUAGCUUAAUUCGAGAGAAUAUGUCUAGUAAAUUGUGGUAAUUACUCGGGAGAGAGUUACGACAGUCAGAGCGCUCAUGAUCGGUAGAGAAUACUUAACGAAUUUAUAGAAAACACAGCGGGAAGGAUUCCGACAAUAGGGGAAAUCAUAACUUUAGACGUCCUUAAUCUUUUCUCCAACCCUUAGUGUCUUUAGUUGUUAAUUUACUAUUUUAAUUUGUUAGUUAAUUAGUUAAACACAAGAAUCUUAAUAUCUAUAAGUUAGGAAUUGUUCAAGCUUGUCUUCUUGGUAAUAUUGAACAAUUGUAGCUAAGUCUUAGUUCUCUGUGGGAUUCGAUUCCGGACUUGUAAACCGGGUUAUAUUUACAACGACCGCUUAAUCCUUUUUAUAAGGCAUAGUUGAGCGUGAUCAGUGUGCAUCAACUUCAUAUUCUUCCUUCGAACCAUAGCUCAAAUUUCAACUCAAAACAACCUCAAAGUUUCACCAAUAGUCCCUACACCCAAUUGAAAUAAGUCAUAAUUAUGCAUAUUUAACCCAACCUUCAAGUUCUUCAAUAGCUUGAAAUGGACUUCACUUUUCAAGAAACACAAAAUUAACUCUAAAAAAAUGUACUCAUUCUAUUCCAAUAACACGCUUGAAGUAAUUUAUCGUUUCUGAAUAUAAACUUCUGCAAAUUUUUCAAACGUAAAUUGGAUGGAGACCUAAUCUCAUUAUUUCAAGGGUGUACAGUAAAUUGAAGAAUUAAGAAAGUGGAAAUUUUAAGGUCAAUUGGAUUAAUGGAUAUAACGCCCCACUGUGUGAAUGACAUAGCUUCUCUUCUCGGAACUUUUGAAUUGUUUCAGUUUUCAAUUCUUUGAAAUUUGAGGAUUUUGCGUGAGAAUUUAGCCGGAGAAGCGGACAAGAAAGAUUAGCCACUUUAUAACUAAAAAGAAUAAAAAUUUGGCAUUUUAUGAGUGGACUAAUUUCUCUACUUUAGAAGAGCAAGACUUUCGACAUGUCUGCUAGGAAUCUUUUUAAACAAGUUUGAGGGCACUUCAGUCAUUUCUCAUCGGCUAUAUACAUGCCUUUUUGUGCUCUUCCGAGAUAUACGUGUACGUUUUUUGCUACUCUCAGAUGUAUGUUUUUCUUCUCUUUCAACAUAAACAUAUUCCUUAGCAAAGCACACACAAGAAAAUGCAUCAGAGAAAUGACCCAUCAUAAGAUCAAAUCGAAAUCAGGUAAAAGUUCCUUUCUGAAGUUCAGAUUCGAGUUUGAUUCAAAGUUAUUUUGCUCGAUUAUUGCUCUGUAUCAGCUUUGCUCCUUGGUUUCUAGCUUUUAAUCCAUUCUUUUUGGUUUUGGCAUUUGUUGGCCUGUGAGUUGUGUUUGUACCUGUGAUUUGUGCUGAAUUUUCCCACUUUCUCUCUCAAAUCUCAGGUAAAUUUCUUAGUCUUUAAUAUCAAUUUUGUUAUUUUCUAUGUGUUUUUUCUCCUUUUUUUUUGUUCCAAUUUGUUUCAACUCACACAACAUCCGAAAAUUUCAAAGGAAUAUUUUUUUUUAACAGACACUGCUGUGAAUAAAAUAUGGGGUUUUGAUAAUUGAUAAAAAUCUGUUUUUUUCUUUUUGUGUGUGUUUGGGAGUGGAAUACAACAUGAGUUUUUGAUAUUAAAGUUUUUUGUUUGUUAUGUGGGUUUGUCAUUGAAGUGUUUAUACAUUUCAGUCUGUAUUUGUUUUUUUUGUUCUUGUGCUAUAUUUUGCUGCUUACUUUUUUUGUGAAAUGGUUUGUUAGUUUGGUUUGGAAAAUGGAGGUGAAGAACCACUAUCGAAUUUCUGAAAUUUAGUGAUUUGGAACAUGAAGGUUAAUGCCCCUCCCAUCUUCUUAGCCUUCUUACCUGUAGAGUUAUGAACAGAGACUAUUGUUAGUGCUCAAAUCUCAAACAAAGAAGAUAAAAAAGACAAAUGAUGUUUGUCAGAGUGAUAGGUGAACAACAAAGAGCAUAUGGCACACUAUCUGUAUACUUCAACAUCCAAGAAAUAUCUGAAUUUGUGUACUUCAACAUAAGAAAAGGAUAGAUUACUAUAGACAAUAGACCACUAAAAGAGUAAAAGUAGAUCCUCUAAGACCUUUAUAUGUUAGAAGUACUUCAAAAUUCUGUAUUUACAGUCUAUCAAGAAUUCCAACCAAGGCAAAAUGAUUAUACUUAUCAGAACAGAACACCAGCAUGGACACUCCAUUUUGGUAACAGAAAGGAGUAGUACUGGUAUAAGCCAUUUUUUAUUUGGAAGACAAGUAUUGCGUUCAAUUAGAAAGGCAUGGUUUUCACUUUUCAGUAUGUUUCUUCAUAGGAUAGCUUCCACCACAAGUUCUCUCCAUUGACAGAUAAUAAAAGUCUUUAGAUGCAGUGGCGAAGCCAGAAAUGUUUUCAAGGGUGUUCAAGGUUGAAAGCAGUUGAAAAAAAAAUUCCGACAAAGGAUGUUCAGUAUAGGUUUUAUAUAUCUAAAAUCAAUAUUUUACUUAUACACACAGUGUAAUUUUUUAUAAUUUUUCGGUGAAGGGUGGUUAGUUGAAGUAUCGGAGUGAGUAAAAGGGAUAAAUAAAUGAAUGCAUGAAUGAGAACCUACUCGCCUUCCCUUCUUUCUCUCGCUAUUCACUCUGCCCUCCUCCAUAUUUCUUCCUUUUCUGAUCUCUCUUUGUUGCCUGACCACAUGUUUCUUGAGCUUUUCGUGUAACAACCUUUCUUUAUUACUUACUUCUUUUUAUCUUACUUAUUUCUUAUUUCUUAUUUUUUUCAUCUGUCAAUUUGAUAUGAUUAGGGGUCUCUCUUUUUUCUUUCUCUGUUUAUUUUCUUUUGUUGGGCUUUUGCUAUCCAAUGUAGUCGAUGCAAAAUAUUUGAAAUGUAAAUUACCGGAAUUAGCUUUGUAGCUAGACUUGCUAGCUAUCUAUUUUUGAGAUUUCCUUUGUAAUUUCGGGGUUUUACAUCUUUCAAUUUGGGAUAGGUUUUAAUCUUUUUGGGUUGAUAUAAACUAAAGGAAGUAUAUUUGUGGCUUGCAUCUAUCUAUCUAUUUAUUUCUGAACUUACAUUUGGGGCAAGUUUAAUCUCUUUGGAUUAUGAGCCCGUUUGGAUUAGCUGGAAAAAAGUAGCUUUUAAGUACAACUGCUUAAAAGCAGCUUUUAAGUGCUGAAACUUGUUUUAUAAAUAAGCAGUUACCUGUUUGGAUAAAAGUGUUGAAGCUUAAAAAAAACUGUUGAAGUGUUUUGUAAACAAGUGUUGGCAAGAACUUUUUUCUAUUAAAAAGACAGAAAUAUCCUUAGAGCUGUUAACAUUAUAAAGGAGCUGAUUACUACAAUAUAUUUGAUUUAUAUAAUAAAUAUAAAUAAAAAUAAUUUAUAUUUUAUUUUAAUUUCAAUUUAAAUGAUUACUUAAGAUAGUUUUUACAAAUGUAACUCUUGAACGCUCAUUUUUAGUUUGUACAAACGAGGAAAAAAUUGAAAAUCUGGGUAAAAAUGGUUCUAUUCAGCUAAGAUUGCCUGUUAAUUCAUUUUUUCCGAUGCGCAUGCAAGGAAAAAAAGAUAUAACCAUUGAGUAUGCGUCUAGCGGGUUCUCGUGGGAUGUUUCUGUGACGACCCGGCCAGUUGUCUCAUGAGUUGCCGCUCCAUUUCCCCCAUUUCUGCUUCUUUAUGCUUCGUUAUCCGUGAUUUAUGUGGUCGAGUUGAUUGGUUUGCGUUCGGAGUGGAUUUGGAAAGAAAUGAGACAAUUAGUCUCUUUUAAGAAAGUUUAAGUUGGAAAAGUCAACCGGAUGUUAUCUUAUGUGUUAGAGGGCUCGGGCGUGAGUUCCGAUGGUUCGGUUAGCUUCGAGAGGUGAUUUAUGGCUUAGGAGUGAGAUCGGAAUUGGUUUUGGAGGUCCGAUGUAGAAUUUGGUUUGAAUUGGCGAAGUUAGUAUUUUGGCGAUUUCCGAUUGGUAGGCGAGAUUUUGAUCCGAGGGUCGGAAUGGAAUUCUGAGAGUUGUUGUAGCUUCGUUAUGUCAUUUGGGAUGUGUGUGCAAAAUUUCAGGUCAUUCGGACAUGGUUUGGUUGGAUUUUUAUCAAAAGCGUGUUUCGGAAGUUUUUAGGAAACUUAGGCUUGAAUUCGAUGAGUUUUUGGUAAUUUAAUGUUGUUUGAGGUGUUUUGAUGAUUGGAACAAGUUCAAAUAAUGUAUUGGGUCAUGUUGAUACUUUUGGUUAAGGUCCCGGGGGCCUCGGGGUGAUUUCGGAUGGCUAAUGGGAAGUUUUGGAACUUGGAUGAUUGCAGAUUUUCUGAUGCUUUUGGUGUUUUCGCACCAGCGGUUUGGUACCGCAGGUGCGGUCUCGCAGAUGCAUUGCUUGGGUCGCAGAAGCGGAAGGCUGAGGGAGUCCUGUUAUCGCAGAUGCGGAAAAGGGGCCGCACCUGCGGAGCCGCAGAUGCGGCGAGUGGACCGCAGAUGCGGUGUUGGUCCGUUAAGUGAAAUUCCGCAGAUGCGGAGAAAUGACUUCAGAAGCGGUACUGCAAAAGCGGGUAUUGGACCGCAGAUGCGGUUAGGACUGGGCAGAAUGUAUAUAUGUUUCUUCUUUGUGAUUUUUGAAGGGUUUAUUCAUUUUUAACUUCGGACUUGGAGUUUUUGGGAAAUUUUGAAGAGAGAUUUCAAGGGAACUUCGAUAAGGUAAGGAUUUUGGACUUAAAACACACUUCUAUGGUGAUAUUUCAUGAAUUAGGACUGAAAUUUAAGGAAUUAAUAGACUAAAAUGGAGGUUUAAGGCUUGAGUUUAAGAGAGCUUAAAUUGGGGAUUUGAGGGGCCAAUUGAAAUCCGAUUCUUGUGAUUUUUAUAUGUAUGAACUCGUGUGAAGAUGAGGAAUUUAAUGAUGUGAAAAUUUCUGAGUUUCGAGAAGUAGGCCCGGGGCUCGGGUUUAGCUAAUUUCGGGAUUUUUGAUANNNNNNNNNNNNNNNNNNNNNNNNNNNNNNNNNNNNNNNNNNNNNNNNNNNNNNNNNNNNNNNNNNNNNNNNNNNNNNNNNNNNNNNNNNNNNNNNNNNNNNNNNNNNNNNNNNNNNNNNNNNNNNNNNNNNNNNNNNNNNNNNNNNNNNNNNNNNNNNNNNNNNNNNNNNNNNNNNNNNNNNNNNNNNNNNNNNNNNNNNNNNNNNNNNNNNNNNNNNNNNNNNNNNNNNNNNNNNNNNNNNNNNNNNNNNNNNNNNNNNNNNNNNNNNNNNNNNNNNNNNNNNNNNNNNNNNNNNNNNNNNNNNNNNNNNNNNNNNNNNNNNNNNNNNNNNNNNNNNNNNNNNNNNNNNNNNNNNNNNNNNNNNNNNNNNNNNNNNNNNNNNNNNNNNNNNNNNNNNNNNNNNNNNNNNNNNNNNNNNNNNNNNNNNNNNNNNNNNNNNNNNNNNNNNNNNNNNNNGGCAAAGGCGUCGCGAGCUAGAGUUGUAGCCGGUUCGAGGUGAGUAAUGAUUGUAAAUGAUGUCCUGAUGGUUUGAAACCCCGGAUUGCACAUCGUUGUGCUGUAUUGAGGUAAGACACGUACUGGAUGAUGAGCGUGGGGUCUUUUACUACUGGGGAUUGUGACUUGGUCUGUCCCGACUGAUGAUUUUACCGUGUAUUUGAUUGAAACUUAUUUGUUAUCAUCAUGAUUUGGGCUGAUUGCCAUAUUUGGGCUUCGUGCCAACUAUUUGAACCCUUUGGGGAUUUUUUGACUGAUUUUCCUCACUCUACUUGUUAAAAAAAAUCAUAUCCUCAGUCAUGUUUCUAUCUGUUUUUAACGAUUUGAGCCGGUUUUAUCAUUCUAUUCCUAAAUGAGAGGAAUUUGUGGGCUGAUAUCCCUACCUUCUAUUAUUGUGCCCGAGAAGCUGUGAGGUUAAUGACUGAGAGGGGUUGAGAACCCAACAGUGAGGAUAUUAUAUAUGUUAUAGAUCGGGUUUCACGCCGCAGCAAUACUUAUAUGGAUCGGGCUGCACGCUGCAGCAAUAUAGUGCUUGGGCUGUAGGAGCCCCUCCGGAGUCUGCAUCAGCAAUGUACGAUUCGGGUUGCACGCCAUAGCGGUUAUCUCUGAUUUCUGUUAUUGUGAGAGAUAUAUGAGUCGAGUGCUAAGAAUGAGUACUAAGUGAUUGAUAUUGUGCCCGAGGAGCGGGUCUCUACUUGUUAUUUAUUUGCUAAACUACCUGUUUUACUUGAGUUAAAGAGAUUUCAUUUGACUUCUUCACUGAUUUACCGCUUUAAGUGAUUUUACUGCUUUGAUAUAGAAUUGCUUUGUGCCUUUACGUGUUUUCAUGCUUUCAGCCAUUAUUUAUAAUUAUUACUCACUGGGUCGAAGUACUCACAUUACUCCCUGCACCUUGCGUGCAGAUCCAGGUGUUUCAGAGGCUGAGUGAGAGUUUUCCCGUUGAUCAACAUUUGCCGGAGUUAUCGAAGUAGCUGCAUGUAAUCCGUAGACCCGAUUUCUCCUUCUAUCUUAUUACUUUCCACAUUCCUAGAUUAUUUAUGUAUUAGGUUGUUCAGACUUGUAUUAGAGGCUCUUGACUUGUGACACCGGAUCAAUGUGGGCUAGGUAGUGGUAUUAUCUUUGGACUUCCGCAUGUUUAACUUACUGUUUUAGACCUUUAUUAUGCUAAAUUGGUAUUUAAACUGUGUUAGCUGGUAAUGAAUUUAUAAGAAAAUGGGUUGUGGUUGAUAGUUGGUCAGGCUUGCCUAGCAAUGUGUUGGUCUGCCAUAAUCGUAUUUUUCUUGGCAUCCCAUCCUAAAUCUGUCUCCCCUCUCAUCAAUUGCUUAAAAAUUGUCCAUUCACCUUUCAUGUAAUCCCAAUAAUUUUU
This 43185-nucleotide long non-coding RNA is filed under the name Nicotiana tabacum (common tobacco). RNAcentral's name for it is "long non-coding RNA (NTAB_LNC014747)". Lineage: Eukaryota; Viridiplantae; Streptophyta; Magnoliopsida; Solanales; Solanaceae. The record is from RNAcentral.